AAAGCCCACCAAGGCGACGAUCAGUAGCCGGCCUGAGAGGGUGAACGGCCACAUUGGGCUGAGACACGGCCCAAACUCCUACGGGAGGCAGCAG
RNAcentral lists this ribosomal RNA (94 nucleotides) under uncultured bacterium. RNAcentral describes it as "partial 16S ribosomal RNA". It matches the Rfam family "Bacterial small subunit ribosomal RNA", at positions 260 to 354 of the family's 1533-position model. The record is from RNAcentral.